UGGGGAUGUAAAUUGGUGCAGCCACUGUGGGACAGUAUAGAGGUUCCUCAAAAAAUCAGAAAUACUAAAUUAUCCAGUAAUUCAAGUACCGACUACCCAAAGAAAACAAAUACUAAUCUUAAAAAAUACAUGCACCCCUAUGUUUAUUGCAGCAUUAUUUACAAUACCAAGAUACGGAAGCAAUCUGAGUUCAAUGGAUCAAUGGAUGGAGAAGAUGUGGCAUAUAAGGCUGGAGGGAAGAGGGCUUGGGAGACAAGUUGAUCAAAGCUCAAAGUGUUUCACUCCAGGAGGGUGCCGCCAAGACCUGGAGCUCUCCUCUCUCAACUCUUAGUCUAGGAGAGCUUUAUGGCAUCUUCCCAGGAGGGGCAGGCCACCAGCAGAGUAAAGCAGCACAAAGGAAGUAGAUGGGAGCGAAGCUGAACUGGAGUGAAGAAAUGAUAUCAGAUGGUAACCUGAAUUCACAGGAACUAAUGAACCAGAAAAGCUUUAUCACACUGUGGCUCUUCUUCCAAGAAAAAAAGCACAUGCAAAACUACAGGGGUUCGUAGGUUUGGGACCUGUCAGUGCCUGGCAGAGAGAACAUCCAACUGAACGUGGAGUGGCUCUUACACAAGGAUUUGUGGUGAAUGGUGUCUACAAUAAACAAGGUUUAGGUAUCCCAUAAAAGAGACCUAAGAUUCUAGAUCACUCCUGAUAGAAUACCUACCAAGGAA
This is a long non-coding RNA of Mustela erminea (ermine), 713 nucleotides long. RefSeq lists it as uncharacterized. NCBI's taxonomy places the organism in Eukaryota, Metazoa, Chordata, Mammalia, Carnivora, Mustelidae. The record is from RefSeq and is a predicted model, not a curated record. The transcript is spliced from 5 exons.